GAAAGGCGAAACGUAAUGUGAAUCGCAACUAACAGUGAAUCAUCGAAUCUUUGAACGCAAACCGCACUUUGUGGUACUACUUGUAGUACUGCAAGGUAUCUACGUAUGAGUGUCAGCCUUAUAUUCUUUUGGUUCAUGAGGGAAACAUGAUUUAUUGUGUUUAACUUGUGAAUACACAGGUCUGACCGGACUAUCGCUCAGAAACUUUACACUGUGUCUGGCCUCAUAUGUGGAAGAUUACCCGCUGGAUUUAA
Molecule: unclassified non-coding RNA, 254 nt
Filed under: uncultured Wallemia
Lineage: Eukaryota; Fungi; Basidiomycota; Wallemiomycetes; Wallemiales; Wallemiaceae
Description: sequence contains ITS1
Rfam family: 5.8S ribosomal RNA (bases 1-115)
Source: RNAcentral